RNAcentral lists this ribosomal RNA (813 nucleotides) under uncultured beta proteobacterium. Its description in RNAcentral is "bacterial SSU rRNA". It matches the Rfam family "Bacterial small subunit ribosomal RNA", at positions 64 to 871 of the family's 1533-position model. The record is from RNAcentral. Lineage: Bacteria; Pseudomonadati; Pseudomonadota; Betaproteobacteria.
CAGCGCGAGAGAGCUUGCUCUCUUGGCGGCGAGUGGCGGCACGGGGUGAGUAAUAUAUCGGAACGUGCCCAGUAGCGGGGGAUAACUACUCGAAAGAGUGGCUAAUACCGCAUACGCCCUACGGGGGAAAGGGGGGGAUCGCAAGACCUCUCACUAUUGGAGCGGCCGAUAUCGGAUUAGCUAGUUGGUGGGGUAAAGGCGGGCCAAGGCAACGAUCCGUACUGGUUUGAGAGGACGACCAGCCACACUGGGGACUGAGACACGGCCCAGACUCCUACGGGAGGCAGCAGUGGGGAAUUCUGGACAAUGGGGGAAACCCUGAUCCAGCCAUCCCGCGUGUAUGAUGAAGGCCUUCGGGUUGUAAAGUACUUUUGGCAGAGAAGAAAAGGUAUCCCCUAAUACGGGAUACUGCUGACGGUAUCUGCAGAAUAAGCACCGGCUAACUACGUGCCAGCAGCCGCGGUAAUACGUAGGGUGCAAGCGUUAAUCGGAAUUACUGGGCGUAAAGCGUGUGUAGGCGGUUCGGAAAGAAAGAUGUGAAAUCCCAGGGCUCAACCUUGGAACUGCAUUUUUAACUGCCGAGCUAGAGUAUGUCAGAGGGGGGUAGAAUUCCACGUGUAGCAGUGAAAUGCGUAGAUAUGUGGAGGAAUACCGAUGGCGAAGGCAGCCCCCUGGGAUAAUACUGACGCUCAGACACGAAAGCGUGGGGAGCAAACAGGAUUAGAUACCCUGGUAGUCCACGCCCUAAACGAUGUCAACUAGCUGUUGGGGCCGUUAGGCCUUAGUAGCGCAGCUAACGCGUGAAGUUGACCG